This 331-nucleotide ribosomal RNA is filed under the name Protula sp. VR-2004. RNAcentral describes it as "eukaryotic LSU rRNA". It matches the Rfam family "Eukaryotic large subunit ribosomal RNA", at positions 42 to 365 of the family's 3401-position model. The record is from RNAcentral. Lineage: Eukaryota; Metazoa; Annelida; Polychaeta; Sabellida; Serpulidae.
AUCACUAAGCGGAGGAAAAGAAACUAAAAAGGAUUCCCUCAGUAACGGCGAGUGAAGAGGGAUAAGCCCAGCACCGAAUACCCCAACUGUGUAGUUGGAGGUAAAUGUGGUGUUUGAGAGUGCCAAUGAGGUGACAAUUUUGUGCUAGAGUCCUCCUGAUAGGGGCUUCACCCAUAGAGGGUGUUAGGCCUGUUCCGCACACUUUUUCUUCUCUGUGGUGCUCUUACGAGUCGGGUUGUUUGAGAAUGCAGCCCAAAGUUGGUGGUAAACUCCAUCUAAGGCUAAAUACAGGCACAGGUCCGAUAGCGAACAAGUACGGUGACGGAAAGUU